Non-coding RNA from Alosa sapidissima (American shad), 385 nucleotides. The record is from the annotation of a RefSeq genome assembly. Lineage: Eukaryota; Metazoa; Chordata; Actinopteri; Clupeiformes; Clupeidae.
UGACACACACUGUCACACACUCCUGUUAGACAUGACAUUUAUAGUUGUAUCAACCCUCCUGGCUGCCUGCUUAACAGGUGGACAUGGUCAGACACUGACUGAAUCUGAACCAGUGGUCAUCAGUCCUGGAGGAUCUCACAAACUGACCUGCACAGCCUCUGGGUACACAUUCAGUAGCUACUGGAUAGCUUGGAUUAGACAGGCUCCCGGGAAAGGAUUGGAAUGGAUCGCAAUCCAGCACGGCUCAACUAGCUACUACUCUCAGGCUUUUCAGGGUCGGUUCACCAUCUCUAGAGAUGACAGUAUUAACCAGGCAUAUCUGCAGAUGAACAGCCUGAAGACUGAAGACACAGCUGUGUAUUACUGUGCCAGAGAAUAGGGGGUU